Sapajus apella (tufted capuchin) is the source of this 159-nucleotide long non-coding RNA. RefSeq lists it as uncharacterized. The transcript has 3 exons. NCBI's taxonomy places the organism in Eukaryota, Metazoa, Chordata, Mammalia, Primates, Cebidae. The record is from RefSeq and is a predicted model, not a curated record.
ACACACAUUAAUAAAACACACUAGAUCUAAUGCAAGUUUAUAUGGUGAGUAUUUUUAAAGGAUUUAAAAAGCAUGCUCCAUCAGCAUAAUAGCUUUUUCUCAUUUACGUAACAGAUACAUUUCUGUCUGCUUGUGUACAGCAAAGGGUUAGAACCUGAA